CUCUGGCUGGCUGUCAUCAUGCUGGAGAAACCUGGACACUGACAUCACGGGCAGUCAUGGGAGGAAGUGGUAAUGUACAUCCACAGCCCAAGGUGUCACUCCUCCCAGAUGGACGCUUUGUGCUGAGCAAGUGGAUGCUGCUGCCUCACAAGAAGAUUCAGCAGGUCUGCAGCCCCAGCCACAGACCCUGUCCCAUAUUCCCGCAGGACAGUGACAUGCUGGGCCCUCCCUCACUGUGAGUGUGGAGUGAACAAGGCCCACGAUAACGUCAGGGGCUCAGUGUAUUGAGCAACACCUAAGCCUGCGCUGAGGGACCUCUGACCUACAGGUUUACCAGCUGGACCUCAGCAUGCAGGCUGAGGUGGAAGAAAGGGUACAGGCCAUGGUGGAAAGGUCCAGUCUGCUUUCCCAACGUCUAGUGAGUACAGGACAGGUUUCCUCAGGUCUCCACUCGAGUCUCCCUGUCAGCUUCGCCCCAGUACCACCACCCACCUACUCCCAGGAGGCAAGUCUGUUGCUGGUUGAGUCCCUGGCCAUGUGUUAUCUCUCAGGCCUGCUCGCUACCUGGCCACCGUACCCAGCCUCUCUGGCCAUCCUCUGCAUUACUUCUUUCCCGUAAUUUCAUCUCUCUGGUGGAUUAUUAUCUCCAUGACUGUCAUCAGCUCCUCACCUGGCUGGGGACAGGCAGAAGGACAGAUCUGGGGAGAGAAAUCCACUUCCUCCUGGGCUCCCUCUGAACUUGUGUGGGAGUGACUGCGUCUACCUGCUGUGUGUUUAGCUUCUUAGCAACAACAAUGAAUUCUUCAAAAACAAAAAAGGACCCUUUGCAGAGAUAUUCCCGCACCAAGUUAACUGAAGACGCAAUGCAGCCCAGCUUUGGAGAUUGAGGGGCAGUGCUGGCUAUGGUGUGGUCUGCUCCAAUCUACAGGUUCUGAGGACCUAUAUUUUCCUGCCCCCAGGUCACAAGUCCACCAGAAAACCCAAGGCCACUCUGCUUAGAGAAGCCCAACCUGAAACAUCUGAGAAACCAGGAGAGCACAGCAGCUCUGAAAACCACCUUCUGCAUCUGGAACUGGCAAGAAAUGGCCAAUCAGAGAGCACACUGCUGGGGAUGGCAGAAAAAUCAAGUCAUGAUGAAGAGGAGACAGACAUACAGGAGGCAUAAAGUGACCUGCUGUUUCUGGGCUGUCCCUGCCCAGACAGGAGGUUUUCCUUGGUUUGUGAAAAUUCUAUUAAAGAGGUCCUGGAUUCCAGACCUCCAACUGCUGCCAGCAAAGAACCCUCAGACUGCCUCUUCCUGGAGCCCCAGAGCCAUGAUGACCACUGUGAGAAGCCCCAGCACUGCCCAUGUGGAUGACGGGGCAUUGUGGGAAGGUUGACCAGCAGCUGGUUUCUGUCCACUGCGCCGGUUUAUGUUAAUUGCAGAUAUUUUCAUCGUAUUGUGUUACUCCAUCCAUCUUUGUGAACGGGCCGUCUUGUAAAAUUCUUUUAAUUAUGUUAUUUUUUCUUGCCUAUCUUCAUCAUCUACAAUUAUUUAUAAUAUCAUUGUCCUUGUUUCAAAUGCUGGGAAUAAACAUUGUUGUAACAGUU
Molecule: RNA transcript, 1590 nt
Organism: Mus musculus (house mouse)
Lineage: Eukaryota; Metazoa; Chordata; Mammalia; Rodentia; Muridae
Gene name: predicted gene, 57776
Exons: 11
Source: RefSeq, a predicted model, not a curated record